GGUUGGCCCUUACAGGUAACAGCAGGGCAGCCCGCCUCCUUUAUGAUCUGAAUGUGCCAAUAGAGGCGUAAAACAUUUGUAAUACAUAUAUUAUUAUUUAUUUUUGCUACAACCUACAAGGUGCGGCGUGGAGCCCGGGGAGGCAGUGGCAGACCUAGCAGAGCUCAUCCAAUCUUUGCCGCACGUGAAUUUUAAAGGAAUCCAAUGUUACCACGGAAAUUCCCUCCACAUCUUCAACGCCACUGAGAGAAAGGCUUCGUCCUCUACUGGGAUCGAAAAAACCAAAAUAGCGCUGAAGGCCCUGCAGGAUCGGAACAUCGCCUGCGACUACGUGACAGGGGCUGGCACGGGCACGUUCGAACAUGAAGCUGCUAGCGGGGUGUUCACCGAGAUACACGCUAUAUCCUUACUACACACUUGUGUUAUAACAUUCUAGAUACGCACUUUAUCCUUACUACACACUUGUGUUAUAACAUCCUAGAUACACACUAUAUCCUUACUACACAC
Molecule: long non-coding RNA, 507 nt
Organism: Aplysia californica (California sea hare)
Lineage: Eukaryota; Metazoa; Mollusca; Gastropoda; Aplysiida; Aplysiidae
Exons: 3
Source: RefSeq, a predicted model, not a curated record